AUAAUAACCAGUUCCUAGUUAACACCAACUGUCCAACCGUUGUCCUCAUGGAAUACAUAAAAACCAGGUUGGGACUUGCUGAGUCAGAGCUUAUAGACCUGUGUGAUGAACGAGGAGUGCUGAAAUUCCUCUUCCUGCCCCAGAAUUCACAGCAAUCUGCUCGUGGACUGCUAAAGGCUAAAGAGUCAUUCAUUGUUUGCAUUAUUAAGCAGACCCUGCAGACUCAGAUUGACAAUCUUGAGAAAACUCGUCUGAAGCAGCUUCAUAUUGUGGAGACUCGUAUGACUUCAUCAGAGGAAAUUAAUGCUCAGACUCUGUCCACUAAAACUACUAAAAAGCGCAAGAAAGUUACACAUGCAAAUGCCCCUGAUGAAGAAGUCCAGCGCCACACAGGGGACAGGAAGAGCAGGAAUUGAACAAAAGCUCUCACAUUCGAGCAUUCAGUGUUCAUACUCAUUCUUAAUGAUGAGUCCCAGUUUAAUUCAUUCAAAUUACAGACGUGUUCAUCAGAAAUGCUGUAUUAUUUUUUACAAAUUAUUUAUCUUUUUACUAGGUGAUUCAAGUUGCUACAUUCAUUUUAUAACACACAAAACCAUAAAUCUAUCUGUCUGUCUGUCUAUUUAUCUAUCUAUCUAUCAUCUAUCUACCUCUCUGUCUGUCUGUUAUCUAUCUAUGUCUAUAUGUCUAUGUCUAUAUCUAUCUGUCUAUCUGUCUGUCUGUCUAUAUCUAUCUAUCUAUCUAUCUAUCUAUCUAUCUAUCUAUCUAUCUAUCUAUCUAUCUAUCUGUGUCUGUCUGUCUGUCUGGCUGGCUAUAUCUAUCUAUCUAUCUGUAUGUAUGUCUUUCUAUCUAUCUAUCUAUCUAUCUAUCUAUCUAUCUAUCUAUCUAUCUAUCUAUCUAUCAUCUAUCUAUCUAUCUAUCUAUCUAUCUAUCUAUCUAUCUAUCUAUCUAUCUAUCUAUCUAUCUACCUCUCUGUCUGUUUGUCUGUCUAGCUAUCUAUCAUCUAUCUAUCUAUCAAUUCAAUUCAGUUCAAUUCAAUUCAAUUCAAUUCAAUUCAAUUCAAUUCAAUUCAAUUCAAUUCAGUUCAAUUUAAAAUUGCUUUAUUGGCAUGACUGUAAAUGAUACAAUAUUGCCAAAACUUAGUAUACAUGUACAAAAGAUAAAAAAAUAAAAUAAUAAUAAUAUAGCA
This is a long non-coding RNA of Cyprinus carpio (common carp), 1186 nucleotides long. NCBI's taxonomy places the organism in Eukaryota, Metazoa, Chordata, Actinopteri, Cypriniformes, Cyprinidae. The record is from Ensembl.